UCCGGUUGAUCCUGCCGGAGGUUACUGCUAUCGGUGUUCGCCUAAGCCAUGCGAGUCAUAUGUAGCAAUACAUGGCGUACUGCUCAGUAACACGUGGAUAACCUGCCCUUGGGUCCGGCAUAACCCCGGGAAACUGGGGAUAAUUCCGGAUAACGCACAUAUGCUGGAAUGCUUUAUGCGUAAAAUGGAUUCGUCUGCCCAAGGAUGGGUCUGCGGCCUAUCAGGUAGUAGUGGGUGUAAUGUACCUACUAGCCGACAACGGGUACGGGUUGUGAGAGCAAGAGCCCGGAGAUGGAUUCUGAGACAUGAAUCCAGGCCCUACGGGGCGCAGCAGGCGCGAAAACUUUACAAUGCGGGAAACCGUGAUAAGGGGACACCGAGUGCCAGCAUCAUAUGCUGGCUGUCCGGGUGUGUAAAAUACACCUGUUAGCAAGGGCCGGGCAAGACCGGUGCCAGCCGCCGCGGUAACACCGGCGGCCCGAGUGGUGAUCGUGAUUAUUGGGUCUAAAGGGUCCGUAGCCGGUUUGGUCAGUCCUCCGGGAAAUCUGAUAGCUCAACUAUUAGGCUUUCGGGGGAUACUGCCAGACUUGGAACCGGGAGAGGUAAGAGGUACUACAGGGGUAGGAGUGAAAUCUUGUAAUCCCUGUGGGACCACCUGUGGCGAAGGCGUCUUACCAGAACGGGUUCGACGGUGAGGGACGAAAGCUGGGGGCACGAACCGGAUUAGAUACCCGGGUAGUCCCAGCCGUAAACGAUGCUCGCUAGGUGUCAGGCAUGGCGCGACCGUGUCUGGUGCCGCAGGGAAGCCGUGAAGCGAGCCACCUGGGAAGUACGGCCGCAAGGCUGAAACUUAAAGGAAUUGGCGGGGGAGCACAACAACGGGUGGAGCCUGCGGUUUAAUUGGACUCAACGCCGGACAACUCACCGGGGACGACAGCAAUAUGUAUAGGCCAGGCUGAAGACCUUGCCUGAAUCGCUGAGGAGGUGCAUGGCCGUCGCCAGUUCGUACUGUGAAGCAUCCUGUUAAGUCAGGCAACGAGCGAGACCCGUGCCCACUGUUACCAGCAUGUCCUCCGGGAUGGGGUACU
Molecule: ribosomal RNA, 1088 nt
Filed under: Methanosarcina sp. GRAU-10
Lineage: Archaea; Methanobacteriati; Methanobacteriota; Methanomicrobia; Methanosarcinales; Methanosarcinaceae
Description: bacterial SSU rRNA
Rfam family: Archaeal small subunit ribosomal RNA
Source: RNAcentral